Molecule: unclassified non-coding RNA, 229 nt
Filed under: Hevea brasiliensis (rubber tree)
Lineage: Eukaryota; Viridiplantae; Streptophyta; Magnoliopsida; Malpighiales; Euphorbiaceae
Source: RNAcentral
UGAGGAAUUGAGAUGUCGGAUUUUGUAUUGAUCACACGAUUUCUGAAUCCUCGGACCAUUCAGAUUCUUAGCGUUAUCAGUGACGAUUUCAUUAGGGAGGCCAUGCCGGUAAAUGAUGUUGCUUCUGAGGAAUCUGAGAAACGUAUUCUGUGUGAUGUGCGCAUAGGAUGUCGCCUCGACCCACUUGGAGAAAUAGUCGAUGGCUACAAGGAUGAAUCUGUGCCCAUUG